Molecule: ribosomal RNA, 399 nt
Filed under: uncultured bacterium
Lineage: Bacteria
Description: bacterial SSU rRNA
Rfam family: Bacterial small subunit ribosomal RNA
Source: RNAcentral
UGGGGAAUAUUGCACAAUGGGCGAAAGCCUGAUGCAGCGACGCCGCGUGGAGGAAGAAGGUUUUCGGAUUGUAAACUCCUGUCUUCGGGGACGAUAAUGACGGUACCCGAGGAGGAAGCCACGGCUAACUACGUGCCAGCAGCCGCGGUAAAACGUAGGUGGCAAGCGUUGUCCGGAAUUACUGGGUGUAAAGGGAGCGCAGGCGGAAUGGCAAGUCGGAUGUGAAAACUAUGGGCUCAACCCAUAGACUGCGUCCGAAACUGUUGUUCUUGAGUGAUGUAGAGGUAGGCGGAAUUCCCGGUGUAGCGGUGGAAUGCGUAGAUAUCGGGAGGAACACCAGUGGCGAAGGCGGCCUACUGGGCAUUAACUGACGCUGAGGCUCGAAAGUAUGGGGAGCAA